Molecule: ribosomal RNA, 492 nt
Filed under: uncultured bacterium
Lineage: Bacteria
Description: bacterial SSU rRNA
Rfam family: Bacterial small subunit ribosomal RNA
Source: RNAcentral
CGAACGGGUGAGUAACACGUGAGCAACCUGCCCUUCAGAGGGGGACAACAGUUGGAAACGACUGCUAAUACCGCAUAAGACCACGGUGUGGCAUCACACAGAGGUCAAAGGAGAAAUCCGCUGAAGGAUGGGCUCGCGUCCAAUUAGCUAGAUGGUGAGGUAACGGCCCACCAUGGCGACGAUUGGUAGCCGGACUGAGAGGUUGAUCGGCCACAUUGGGACUGAGACACGGCCCAGACUCCUACGGGAGGCAGCAGUGGGGAAUAUUGCACAAUGGAGGAAACUCUGAUGCAGCGACGCCGCGUGAGGGAAGAAGGUCUUCGGAUUGUAAACCUCUGUUGUCAGGGACAAUAAUGACGGUACCUGACGAGGAAGCCACGGCUAACUACGUGCCAGCAGCCGCGGUAAAACGUAGGUGGCAAGCGUUGUCCGGAAUUACUGGGUGUAAAGGGAGCGCAGGCGGGAGAGCAAGUUGGAAGUGAAAUCUGUGGG